This 73-nucleotide transfer RNA is filed under the name Scleropages formosus (Asian bonytongue). Its description in RNAcentral is "tRNA-Val". The record is from RNAcentral. Lineage: Eukaryota; Metazoa; Chordata; Actinopteri; Osteoglossiformes; Osteoglossidae.
AGAUUGGUGGUGGAGUGGGUAACAUUGGUGCCUUACAUGCAUUCAGUCAAGUGUUCGAAUCAAGCUCGAUCUC